Long non-coding RNA from Malania oleifera, 636 nucleotides. RefSeq lists it as uncharacterized. Lineage: Eukaryota; Viridiplantae; Streptophyta; Magnoliopsida; Santalales; Ximeniaceae. The record is from RefSeq and is a predicted model, not a curated record. The transcript has 2 exons.
UUGUUCAUUUUUUGUUCGCCAUUCUCUCGCAUACUCUCUCUCUCUCUCUCUCUCCAUUCUAUCUCUCUCUGCUCUCUUCUCUCACCCUUUUUGUCCCCCUCUCCUCUCAACCUCUCUGCUUUCCGGGGUUUUUAUGCAACUCUCUACUCUCAUUCUCUCUGUUUCUUCCUUAUCUCAUCCUCUCUAUCUUCCAUCACCCUCUCUAUUUCUCUUUGUAGGUCUAUAGAGUGGAGAUGGGUGAUCUGAAACCAAAAGGCUUCAGAUCAGAUUCUUGGCCAUUCCUUCCUAAAAAUGAUGUUGAACUCAAUUCCUAGCUUGAUCGUUCCAAGAUGGUCACAACAGGGAGAAUUUGAAAGCAGAGCUCGGAUGGUGACCUCUUUCGUGAACACAAACCAAUGGCUAAGAAACUUGGUGAUCCAGGUGGCAGUGCAAGAGAGGAGGGCUUUUUGGGUGCUCUCAGGUGGUAGUUCGGGAGUGGAGGAUCAAGAAUCUGCUUUUUGCUUUUUGAAUUUUGUAUCUUUAUUUGUUUUUUCAUUUUUUUGUAUUUGCAUGUUGAUGUAUGUACCCCCAAGUGAACUUUCCUGCAACAUUCUUUUGUAUUUUAACAUUUUAUAUUAUCUUGCUUACUCCCUGCAA